AAAUACUGUGGAAACAGACACCCUGGAUGCCCUUGAGGUUUGUGUUGCUGCAUGGAAAGCAGUGCGAGUCAUGAGAGGACUGAGUGUUCCUUCUGGAUGCGCCAAAACGCCUGCUUUUGAAACCGGAGAGACAGACGCUCUGCACCGAGUAUCCAGGCUACAGCUCUGGAUCUAAAGAAAAAGGAAAAGGCUGGAUUAAGACGAGAUAAAUACGAGUCUGUUGGUCAAGGGCAUUUCUUGCUGCAGUGCUUCAAAUGGCUUGUCAACUGCAGCAAUUCCAUAAUUCACGGAUGAAUCCCAGCAUGAUGGAAUGGUAGCUCCGGAAACACGUGGAUGGAAAAGAAAAAGAUCCCAUGCCAGCAGGCUCAACUGCACCAACGCUCUCUCGGGCUGUGGGCGGGACUGUGAUGCUCUGUGCAUCGGGCACCGUAAUCAACAAAAGCAAGGACUUACAAACCUGUUAGUACCAGAAGAUCCCAUAUGGAAGACAUCGAGAAGAAACCCUAAGGGAUAGCUGAUGCGUGACUGCAUAUCUCCCUAAUCCAGCAUGAACAUCCAACAGUUUCUAUCACGCCGAGUGCUGCAGAAUAACAGGACUAUAAGGUUAGGCUGGUUAGCCCUUUACUGUCUACCUCUGCUUUCAAAGAUGCAUAUAUUUCUCACUCAGGCCGGUGAGGUUAGUAAUGUUACGCCGAGUUUCCUUCAUGAGACCAAAGUCCAGUUUGCGCGCUCUCGCCUCAGUCAUGAUCAUCUAUCGUUUACUAUAUACUUCUUAUUUAUGAUGAAACAUUGAUUUAAAUUAAGAUUCAAUUAAUUAAAAAAACGAAUAUUUCACUUUAAAGAAAGGUUUAUUUGUGGUUUCUCUUCAAGAUCUCUGUGAAAGUUUUAAAGUCGCUUUCAUAACGGUCAUGUCCGUCAAUAUUAAACGCAUGUGUAGACUGAUAUUUUUCUAAUGUCUGCAGUGGACCACCGAUCUAUAUUAUAUAACAUUAUAUAGAUGAGUGAGUGGUCUGGACUAGAGUGCUAGCAUUCUAUGUAAACAAUACUUCCACAGGAAGUGGAAAACCGUUUAGUCAGUUGAAACCGCAAUGAAUCAUGGGAAAUAGAACGGUCGCAGAAUAAGGUGGAUUCCAGUACUUUUUUUUGUGAUCAUUUGAAAAUGUGUAACAUGGAAAUGAUGAUACUGUGUGAUGGUACUGUUUCAUAUAGUUACAGUUUAGCCAAACUGCUUGGAAAUAGCUUGGUUUAAAGCCAUUUUUCAGUGUAUGGUCUAUCUAUGCUGGGGAAUUCCUGUGGUUAAUGUAUGUUUCACUUUAAUGGAAAAGAACAUUUGAACAUUUUUUUUAAACUUCUUUUGUGUUUCACAUAAGCAAGAGAGUCUCAUUGGUUUCGUUUUUGAGCAAACUUUUUCUUUACAAUACAGAGUAAAUACUUCUAGAAGUGAAGGAAAUAAGCAUAGACAAAUGAGACCCAAGAGCCACAUUAAACAUGCAGACCAAGUCAGCAUUAUACCCAUAAGGCCAUUUGCCACACCACAAACGCCUCAUGACUCUGCACAGAUUUCCAGACUUCUUUCAUCCAACGCCAUGCAGCAGUUAAGCAGUCUGCCCCAGUCAGAAAUGGUUUGGCAUUGGAAGCGCGUCUUUACUCAAAUCUCAGACUUUUGCCUUUUAGUUUGGCUGUAUAUCAGCAAGUUAAUUAUUUGUUACCUUACUCUUCCAUCAAUUUCCACAGAGUCCAUCUCUAUAAAUCAUUGUGACCAGUCUUUUAAAGCCGUAUUGAAAGUCGGACGACAUUUAUCUGAAAAGUUAUUGCAGGUGGACAUGAAUGCUAAUGUGUUUGCGAGAAUCUUUUUAGACAAGCUGUCUGAGUGCAUUAUAAUUGUUUUUUUUUUUCUUCUGUUUAGCGCAUGAAGAAAAAAAAGAGAUUGUACGGUUAAAUCAUUUACUAUAAAUACUGCAAUAUUCCAAUAAAAAAUAAGAAUUGUCCAAUUUGAAUUCUUGCUGACUUUAAAGAUAAGUAUAAUUUCCUUUUGGGAGAAAACACAAUUCGAAAAAUCCUUAAUUUUAGGGACCAGAUUUUCCAAGUCAAUUUGUUCGUUUCGUUCGUUGAAUGAACCAAAUGACUUGGAAAAAGAU
Non-coding RNA from Pimephales promelas (fathead minnow), 2138 nucleotides. Lineage: Eukaryota; Metazoa; Chordata; Actinopteri; Cypriniformes; Leuciscidae. The record is from RefSeq and is a predicted model, not a curated record.